UACAGCAGCCGCUUGCGGUCUGUAUACAGGUGCUGCAUGGCUGUCGUCAGCUCGUGCUGUGAAGUGUGGUAAGUCCGCAACGAGCGCAACCCUAUCAUCUGUUGCCAGCAUUUAAGGUGGGGACGUCAGAUGAGACUGCCGGUGACAAACCGGAGGAAGGUGGGGACGACGUCAAGUCAUCAUGGCCCUUAUGUCCUGGGCUACACACGUGCUACAAUGGCCGGUACAGAGUGAAGCGAAACCGCGAGGUGAAGCAAAACGCAGAAAGCCGGUCUCAGUACGGAUUGGAGUCUGAAACUCGACUUCAUGAAGUUGGAAUCGCUAGUAAUCGCGCAUCAGCAUGGCGCGGUGAAUACGUUCCCGGGCCUU
RNAcentral lists this ribosomal RNA (369 nucleotides) under uncultured Spirochaeta sp. RNAcentral describes it as "bacterial SSU rRNA". It matches the Rfam family "Bacterial small subunit ribosomal RNA", at positions 1007 to 1382 of the family's 1533-position model. The record is from RNAcentral. Lineage: Bacteria; Pseudomonadati; Spirochaetota; Spirochaetia; Spirochaetales; Spirochaetaceae.